Long non-coding RNA from Equus caballus (horse), 7674 nucleotides. Lineage: Eukaryota; Metazoa; Chordata; Mammalia; Perissodactyla; Equidae. The record is from Ensembl.
GUUGCACUAGCGGCAUUGCAAGUGCUCAACAGGCAUGUAGGGCUGGGGGCCGUGCUGCUGGACGACACAGACAGAGAACAUUUCCAUCAUUACAGAAGCUUCUCCUGAACGGCACUGGUCUACGGACUCGGAGGCUGCGGGGUCUGGUGUUUUUUCUAGAUGAUCUUCAUGCAUUCUGAUAUUUGCUGAGAACCCACGACAUACCAGGCCCCGUAACAGGCAAUGGAGAUAAUUUGCACAAAACACUAAAAGUAAUCAAAACUUUGGAAUUAUCACAAUGUUCUGAAGCUGCACCUGUAUUAUUAAGAAGAGUGAUUUAGAAAGAGAAAUAUCUAGAAUCGAAAAACAAUUCCUCCACUCUGGAUAAUCUUGAGCACAGCAGCUUUGUCUUACACAUUUAUUUAUCUUUCAUGGUUUACACAGGAUGUGGCACAUGCAUAAGUAUUUGUUAAAGGAAAGGACAGUGGAAUGAAUGCAUAAAGCCAUGAAAGCAUGAAAUGAAAUGAAUUCUCCUUCCUCCAAAGUAAUUUCAAAGGGGCAUUUAUAGCUGGAUAGUGAAGGAAGGAGCUGUAGAGAUCUCUGAAUCCAGCUCUUCCCUUUGACACAGAGGAGUCAAUGGUCAACAAGGUUCAGAAGUUCGCCCAAAGUCAUCAGGUGAGGUUGUCUUCCUUGCCUUCCCGAUUGUAGCUUUUUACCAGCGACCACUGGUGUUCAUUCCAUAUUUUAUGAUUUCCUGUCAACAACAACAAUAAAAAGGUUUCUGUAUGAUUAUUGAAUAUUUUUCUAGAGAGCUUGCUCUGGGACACAUGACUACUUCAGUUUCACAGCAAAGACAAAAUUCACAAGUAGUGUCACCUACUUUGAAAGAUAUUUUAGGGCCUAAGCUGCCACUGAGUUGCUCUUUGUAGCUAACCUAAGUCCCUCAUGCUAUACUUUGUCACUUUCUGAAAUUAAACAGCCAUUUUUCUGUGGGCGUUCUUAGGACUCUGCCUCCCUCUGCUGUGGCAGGUCCUGCACUUUGUUUAAGAUUCAAGGUUACGCUCAGGAGACAUGUUGGAUUUGCACCAGGCUGGAAGGCACACCAGAGACCAAGGAGCUUCAUGGCUUCAUUUGACGGUCACGGACACUUAGGGCCAGCCAGCGAAAGUGACUUCUUCAAAGUUGCAUCACGGUUCCUUGGCAGAGCUGGAACUCCAAUGAUCACAGGUACUCAAGCGACAAAGGCAAUGCCUUCGCAAAAGGGAACUUCGCCACUCACGAAGAAUACCUGUGUGUCCAGAUCAGGUACCCUCCUGAUGUCAAAACCACUCCUGAUUCUCAGCAUGCCAAAAGUUGAAUUUAGGGGAAAUCCUUCUCAGAAUUUUCUCCACCACCUUCUUGCCCACCUGAAACUCCUGCUCAUCCAACAAGAAGAUGGGAACACUUCUCCACAGUAUCCACUGAACCUCCUACUCCGGGCAAAAAUAAGUACCCUAUGGGGCCAGCCCAGGGGCAUAGCAGCUAAGUUCGAGCACACCAUUUCGGCAGCCCCAGGGUUCACCAGUUUGGAUCCCAGGCAUGGAUCUACGCACCGCUUCUCAAGCCAUGCUGUGGCAGGCGUCUCACAUAUAAAGUAGAGGAAGGUGGGCAUGGAUGUUAGCUCAGGGCCAGUCUUCCUCAUCAAAAAGAGGAGGAUUGGCAGCAGAUGUUAGCUCAGGGCUAAUCUUCCACAAAAAAAAGAAAAAUAAAAAUAAGUACCUGUAAGCCUUUCCUUUCUCUAUUUCACAUUUACCCAGGAUUCAUUUUCAAAAACAAAAUCUCAGAAAACAUUCUUCCCACUCUCCCCUUAACUUUUACUCUUUUAACAUAACUUUGGGGUUGUUUGAAGAUUGUUUUAAAUGUCUAUGUGAAUUGCCUGCAUGUUUAUUAAUAACUGUAUUCUCUGUUUGCUAAUACAGGUACACAUUUUACUAGUUUUCUUGCAUGAAAACAUCAGAAAAUGGCAUUGCCCUGGAAAUCCCGUGCCUUGACCACGUUCCCAUUUUAAUCCCGACGUCUUACAUUCUCUUUUCUGUAGCUGGAGGACCAGAGUGAGGGCCUCGUGGGGUCCGGGCUCUCAGUAUUUUGUGGGGGAGAAAGGACAACGGGGCAGCCUGUCCGUAGAUAUCACCAAAGACCUAAGCACAGUUUUUGAGGAGGAACAAAGACACCGUCCAAUCUGUUUGCACACACACACCUAGGGCAUUCAUAUGGCAGCCCUUAUGCACUGAGAGGAGAACUGAGACACGGAACCUGUAGUAGGUAGAGGACAAGGAGAGGGAGAAGGAAUAAAUCCAACUGCUCCUGCACACUUCCCCAGACGAGACCCGGGACGAGACGGGGUAAUGUCACCUCAGACCUAAACCAUUAAGCUACAUCGUGCCUCAAAGAAGCAGAAACUCAGACCAAGAUUCCUCCCUCUCUGCCCUCCCCUGGAUGGGCCCCUGUGAAAUCAAGGGACUGGCUUGGGAAGGACUUUGCACACUGACCUCAGAAAUUCUUUUUAGGGGAAUGUGAUCCCUUUUAUUAUACAGGGAGAUAUAAAACUGCGUAUGAAUUGGCAAUUUUAUUGCCUGAUUUGAACAUUACAUUUUAUUAGCAUAGUGGGUGUUUUUUUGUCAUACUCAUUACCUACUGCCCACAGUGAGGAUGGGAGCUCCGUUCUGGCUUGCACGGGAAGGAGAUUCAGAGCAGAGUGCCGGGGAGCGCCCUGCACAAUUGCACUGUUCUCUGAAAGCCUGUCCCAUCUUGUGGGUGGCUGUUAUUUGCCUCUGCAUCUAACUCUGCAGGCCCUGCAGGAAGCAGCGGGCUCCUUGAGGGCGGGGCCCGCUUCCAACCUCCCUCUCUAUCUGGCACGCUGCUGGGCAUACAGUCCUUGCUCAAUAACUCUCUGGAUCCACCCCUGUUCCUUUGGAUUCUGGUUGCAGUGUUCUCCCCUCUGCCCUGUGCUGCCCUUAGCCAUAACAUCAGGCUUAGUGCGCUUUUCCCAAAGCUUGCGGCCCUCCUCGUUCACCACAUCCUGCAUCCCCUAUGUCCAGAGCAAUUGCUUUGUGCCCACGGAUGGCUUUGCUGAGGCAGCGCUCCCUGGAGAGGCCAGGCUCCUAUCUGCGGCCCGUGAGCAGGGGUUUGGCAGGCCGAGGUCCAUCCUGGCACAACUGAUUUCUGCGUGAUCAGCCCAGGACAUCAGUUAGCAGGCAGGUUGGGAAAGGAUGUAAAAUGAAUGGUCCCUGAUAACUCGAUCAGGAGCUGGAGCCAGAGAUCAUAGAGAAAUUUAUCACCAGAAGUGACAGCACCAGGCCCUAGCAAGAGCUUCCCCAGGAUCUGGCUCCUGUGCUGAGGGUUUCUGUCAGAUACCCUAGCCCAUGCAAGAAAGAGAUCAGGGUUAAAGAAGGUGGGGGAGUGAUCCUGAGUUAUGGGGGAAUGAGCCUGAAACGAGGCUGGUCCGGGCUCAGGUCUGAGCCCUCCACUUAGCAGGUGGGCCUUGAGGAAGUUGCUUAAGGUCUCCGAGCCUCAGUUUCUUCAUCCGUGCAAUGGGUAUAAUGCCACCUCCCUUUGUGAGGGGUCCACAAAUUAGUAGAGAUCCGCACGUGGAAGGUGCUCGAUAAAUAAUCUGUCGAAUGAGUUACCGAAUACCAAUCACCUUUCUCAGUGCCUGGCCCACCACCGAUGCUUUUAAUGAAUGAAUGAGUAUCAAUUUGCUAUCAUAGUGCACGGCAUUUAGUCUGUUGUUGAAAAUAAAGUUAGGUCUCUCCCCCACCAAGAUUUUACCCCCUCCAACCUGUUUUCCUUCACGAUUUGUAAAUGCUGGCCCAGAGAGGUGAGACAACCUUGUCAAGGUCACAGAGCGACUGUGAAUCAGAGCCCCUUUCCUGCUCCCAUGCUCGGCCCCGUAGAGCUCCGGCUGGCCCGCCGUCCACACUGCUUCCAGAGUCCAGAAUACCGCAGACCAGUUGCCUCCCGACCUCUGCCCAGGAGGACUUCCGUGCCCAUUGAGGUAACACUGACCCAGGGCCUCUAAUCCCGCUUCUGCUAGCCUACCUCCCCUCUUCCUAUCUGUGAUGGUUAAUUUUAUGUGUCAGCUUGGUUAUGCCAUGGGACCGAGAUAUUUGGUCAAACGUUGUUCUAGAUGUUUCCAUGAAGGUUGCUUUCAGAUGAGAUUAAUAUUUAAAUCAAUAGACUUUGAGUAAAGCAGUUGACCCUCCAUAAUGUAGGUGGGCCUUGUCCAAUCAGUUGAAGGUCUUAAUAGAAAAACAUAGACCUUCCCCAAGGAAGGAGGAAUCCUGCUGGCAGGCUGCCUUUAGACUCAAACUGCAACAGCAACUCUUCCCUGGGUCUCCAGGCUGCCAGCGUACCCUGCAGGUUUUGGACUUACGAAUGUAUAUCAUAUACACACACGGACAUACCCAUCCUAUUGGUUCUGUUUCUCUGGAGAACUCUGACUAAUACACUAUCCUUCUUGGUAGUUUAUUUUCCAGCUACUAGCUGCUACUUACCGUGUCUCCAAAGCACCAGGAUGGCUGUCACCUUGGCUUCUUUGCACAGACAUCUGUUUCUGCCUGGAACUCUGUCACUGCUUACUGUCUGGCCCACUGCCUUAAACUCAGCUUACCCAGACUCCUCCUUUGACCAGGGCCUAUCUAGCUGCAUAGCGCUGCCUGCCGUGUAGCUGUUCCUUCAUGGGGCUCCUGUUUUCCUGUCUAUGUAAUUUACGACCUUGUAUUGAAUUUGCACAUCUGUUGUCUCUCUCCUCACCUGGGACCACUGAAGGCAGGGCCUUGCUUAUGCAUCUCAGGCAUCUUAACCUAAGUUAACAAAGUUGUGUUGAAAACAAGGAAGGAAAGAAAGAAGAAAAGAGGGAAGGAAGGAGGGAAGGAGAGGGGAAGGGAGAGAGAGAGGAAAAGGAGGAAAGAUGGAAACAGGGAACCAGGAUGGGCAAAACCAAACAAAGUAACAACUCCCACUGAUGGGGACCGCCACAGGAGCAGAGGCACCCACUGAAAGAGCUCCCAAUAACCAAGCUGGAAGAAUUUGAGCAACAAAAUUAAGUGGUAUUGGAUUAAAACCCAAAUGAUAAAAUAAAUAUUCAGAGUAUACGUCCAUAUAAAUAAAUAAUUGAAUAAAUUAAUAAGUGGUGGGCACUUUUCAAAUGAUUUACAUAGAUAUACCACCAUCAAAGAGGGAACACGUAACUCACCCCGCCUCAGGUGUCAGCUGCACAUAGUGACUGUCCCCCAGAGAGUGCAGAAUAGAAAGGGGGAAAAAGCACAACUUUAUGGUGGAGAAACCUGAGGAGCAUGACCUCAGCCAGGUGGUCAAGGGGAAACACCCACAGUCAUAAAUCAUGUUGAUUGUCUACACCCUUGAUAGAGGAUGACAAUGGUUCUUCAUCUCUUCCUCCUCAAAACCCACAACCCUGGUCUAAUCACGAGAAAAACAUCAGAUACAUUCCAGAGGUGGGGCAUCCUACAAAACAUCCUCAAAACUGUCAACGUCAUCAAAAACAAGGAAAGUCUGAGAAGCAGCCUAGAGGAGCUUUAGGAGGCAAGACAACUAAUUAUAAUAUGAUAUCCUGGAUGGGAUCCUGGACGAGAAAAAGGACAUUGGGCAGAAACUAAGAAAACCUAAUUGAACCAUGGACUUUAGUGGACAAUGAGGUAUCAAUAUCAGCUCAUUGAUUGUAACCUAAGUGUCAUAGUAAGGUAAAAUGUUAGUAGUAAGAGGGGAAACUGGACGUGGAAUAUAUGGGAGCACUCUCUGCUAUCCUCUCAAUUUUUCUGUAAAUCUAAAACUGUUUUAAAAAAAUAAAGUCUAUUAAAAGAAAUAAGAAAAAUGGGAAAGUUAUUAAACAUCAACCAAUCUGAUUUAUCGUAACCUUAUUUGGAUCCUGAUUCACAAAAAAACAAAGAGAAAACUGGGACUCAAACCCUAGACUAAGCGUUCGAGUGAGAUUAUGUUGAUCGUCUGUGACUCUGUGGAAGUAUUUUUGUUCUUUUUUCUUAUAGUGAUUUCCCUUCUCCCAGAAGAACAUCCCUAGAGAUUAGUUGAAGCAGCAAGCCACAGUCCAGCCUUAAUCUUCCAGGAUUGGCUGAGUUACUUCACAGCAAUUCGUCUCCCUCCACUCCAAGCCCAGCCCACGGCAGUAAUUUGCAUUCUAAAGGAGGAAGUCAACUAACAGGAUUCAGAUAAGGAUGGUCAAUAGGUACUGGCUUCCCUCAGGGCCACCUCAGGCCAGGGGGUGUCUGCUCUCUAGCCCCACCUACCGGACCUUGUCUAAAUCACCUGAAUAAAUGCAACUGCCUGGCAAGACCCAAUGCCAGGCACGGAGGGGAAAGAAACAAGACUCAUCAGAUCAGGGAAUAUUGGGAUCGGAGGGAAACUUUAAGAUGAAUCUCUUCUUUAAUUGAAAGGAAAACCAAGUGUUAGAUGCAUUGGACAUUUACUACGCAUCGAGCCACUUUGACCAGAGUUCGAACCCUGCUCCUGCCACUGCGUGGUCAUGGAACUCAAUGUGUUCAGAUUGUCAAUUCAAUCCAACUUCAUUUCACUUACUUCAAUUAAGGAAUAUUUGUUAAGAAAUGACCGUGUUCCUAGUGCAAUACUAAGGAAUAUGAAGAUAAAUAAGACCCAGUACAUGCCUUCCAAGAGCCUGAACCACGUUUAGAGAAAGAAGAAACAUAUUUGAAAAGCCUCUGAUUCAGUAUUUGGACACGUGUUACUGAUCCGCGGAGAGCCCUCACGAAGGGGUGAUGACGUCUAUUAUGUAGUGAUUUUCAUGGCAACCUUGUGAACUGGUGAUUUUUACAGAUGAGGCAGCUGAGGCUCAGAUAAGGUAACUGACUGGUUCGAGAUUGCUCAGCACAGACAGACGAGAGGAUGGAGCUUGAAUCCACAUCUGCUUCCCCGAGCCCACUCUGUGCUUGGAUUUCCCCAGGGCCCCUACCCCACACCUGCCUGGCCCUGCCCACCUCUUACCUCCCAGCAUUCGAUUGUGUCUGUAUGUGAAAGCUCAGCCCUUGGUGACCCUUCCUAUUAAGGCUCCUGGAAGAAGACGGGCGUGCUGGGUCAGUUAUGAUAAUAGCUGAGGACAAUGGCAUCAGGAUUCACAUGAAGAAGGCUUUCUUUCUCCAUGACCAGCAACACCCUAGUUACGGUUUAUAUGCAACAUCUAUUUCUAGAAAGAAAACCUGAAGCGAGCCUCAGCAUUGCCACAAAUAACCGAGGUUGCUGUAAGAACACAUCUCAAUUUAUUUAUUUAUUUUUAAUUUUUUAAGAUUGGCCCUGAGCUAACAUCUGUUGCCAAUCUUUGUUUUCCUUCUUUUCCCCAAAGCCCCCCAGUACAUAGUUAUAUAUUCUAGGUGUAGGUCCUUCUGGUUCUGCUAUGUGGGACACUGCCUCAGCAUGGCUUGAUGAGCAGUGCCAUGUCCGUGCCCAGAAUCGGAAUGAGUGAAACCCCGGGCUGCCAAAGUAGAGCGAGAGAUCUUAAUCACUUGGCCACGGGGCCAGUUCCACAGCUCAAUUUAAAUUAAUAAAUCCACUUGGAAAGAUACUUUUCUGUCUCAGUCUUCUCUGCAUCAUUAGUGCCUGGAAGAGGGCUUCCUAUGGAGUAGGUGCACAAUAUGUUACUGUGUGAUGAUAAAUAUUUCUAUUCUUUCUGGG